AACGAACGCUGGCGGCGCGCCUAAUACAUGCAAGUCGAGCGAGAAGGUGUAGCAAUACACUUGUAAAGCGGCGAACGGGUGAGGAAUACAUGGGUAAUCUACCAUCGAGUGGGGAAUAACCAACCGAAAGGUUGGCUAAUACCGCGUACGCCUCCGAGUCUUCGGGUUCGGAGGGAAAGCUGCACUGUGAGUGUAGCGCUCUUUGAUGAGCUCAUGUCCUAUCAGCUUGUUGGUAGGGUAACGGCCUACCAAGGCUUUGACGGGUAGCUGGUCUGAGAGGACGAUCAGCCACACUGGCACUGCGACACGGGCCAGACUCCUACGGGAGGCAGCAGUAAGGAAUAUUGCGCAAUGGGCGAAAGCCUGACGCAGCGACGCCGCGUGGGGGAUGAAGGUCUUCGGAUUGUAAACCCCUUUCGGGAGGGAAGAUGGAGCGAGCAAUCGUUCGGACGGUACCUCCAGAAGCAGCCACGGCCAACUUCGUGCCAGCAGCC
This 494-nucleotide ribosomal RNA is filed under the name uncultured bacterium. RNAcentral's name for it is "bacterial SSU rRNA". It matches the Rfam family "Bacterial small subunit ribosomal RNA", at positions 29 to 516 of the family's 1533-position model. The record is from RNAcentral.